UACAAAGGUCCCAAGCGUUGUUCGGAUUCAUUGGGCGUAAAGGGUGCGUAGGUGGCGCGCUAAGUCAGGUGUGAAAUUUCGGAGCUUAACUCCGAAACUGCAUUUGAUACUGGCGUGCUUGAGGACUGGAGAGGAGACUGGAAUUUACGGUGUAGCAGUGAAAUGCGUAGAGAUCCGGAGGAACACCAAAGGCGAAGGCAGUGUCCUGGGGAGUACCUGACGCUCAGGUGCGAAAGCCAGGGGAGCGAACGGG
RNAcentral lists this ribosomal RNA (253 nucleotides) under uncultured bacterium. RNAcentral describes it as "partial 16S ribosomal RNA". It matches the Rfam family "Bacterial small subunit ribosomal RNA", at positions 524 to 776 of the family's 1533-position model. The record is from RNAcentral.